CUACGGUGGGCUGCAGUGGGGAAUAUUGGACAAUGGGCGAAAGCCUGAUCCAGCCAUGCCGCGUGUGUGAAGAAGGCCUUCGGGUUGUAAAGCACUUUCAGUGGGGAAGAAAGCCUUGGGGCUAAUACCCUCGAGGAAGGACAUCACCCACAGAAGAAGCACCGGCUAACUCCGUGCCAGCAGCCGCGGUAAUACGGAGGGUGCGAGCGUUAAUCGGAAUUACUGGGCGUAAAGCGCGCGUAGGCGGUCUGAUAAGCCGGUUGUGAAAGCCCCGGGAUCAACCUGGGAACGGCAUCCGGAACUGUCAGGCUAGAGUGCAGGAGAGGAAGGUAGAAUUCCCGGUGUAGCGGUGAAAUGCGUAGAGAUCGGGAGGAAUACCAGUGGCGAAGGCGGCCUUCUGGACUGACACUGACGCUGAGGUGCGAAAGCGUGGGUAGCAAACAGGAUUAGAUACCCGUGUAGUC
This 464-nucleotide ribosomal RNA is filed under the name Vreelandella stevensii. RNAcentral describes it as "partial 16S ribosomal RNA". It matches the Rfam family "Bacterial small subunit ribosomal RNA", at positions 339 to 795 of the family's 1533-position model. Lineage: Bacteria; Pseudomonadati; Pseudomonadota; Gammaproteobacteria; Oceanospirillales; Halomonadaceae. The record is from RNAcentral.